AAAUAAAAUAUUAAUAAUUCCAAUAUUUCACAAUGAAAUAGAAAAACAAAUGUUUGCGUUCAUCUCUUUGAUCACAAAAUGAAUGAUUUUCAUUCAUUUUGAGAAGGGACGAUGGGGUAAUGUAACCGUUUGUAACCUAAAAAUAAUGUGUCUCCGACACUUUUGCAAAACAGACUACAUCCCUGGUAAGGGGUUCUCACUAGCUCUCAUCGAGAGACGUCAAAACAAUCGCCACUCAGGGGUUCGUCCCAUUUUACCUCCCAUCCCUCUCACUACGCGGCUACUCUCUCCCGAGAGAUACCCAUGGGCGCGGAUGAACAGGCUUUUGUUAUCGCGAGGAAGUGUCAUCACCCAAUCAACGUCGCACACGUCAUUUCCAUUUGCCGACGUACUUAUAUAUUGGUGUGACGGUCGGAUGAACUCUAUGUGAUUCAAGGUUGCUUAGAUUCGGCCUAGCAAGUAAAGGUUUCUUUCUGUCCGUGAACGCCUUAGGGCUAUGAAGUGCGCGCCGUGUCCGUAAAGUUAAAAGUUAAAAAGUACAAGUAAGGUCUACAAGUUAAAAGACGUAAAACACGGAAAGUUAAAAGUGGCUAAAAAUAUAAGUUGUAUGUUUGAUAGAAAUACUAAAAACGUCGUAAAAGUUUAUAAUAACAAAAUAAUAACAAGUUACACCGAAUUACGAACGAAAAGCCGUAAAACCACGUGAAAUGUUACAUAGAAGAAACACUGAAACAGAUUAAAAACAAAAUACGAAGAAAAAGCUUUGCAUCGACCUCGACAGGUGGCGGUUGUGGCCAACACAAAUAACCACGCUAAAUACGGACAGAAAAGUAAGACGCAUCGGGUGGACAUAACCUCAAUCCAGUCUACCUAACAACAACCGCACCAACUCGGACCUGUAUCAGCUAUUGUUGAUUCGACACCGUUUCGGGACGCCGAAAUCGGUGAGAAUCUACCAGAACAAUCAACCGGGUCGAUAAGGAAAGCUUCAAAGAUCGCAACGCAAACAACUAACCAGAAACCUACACCUGUAAAACCGCAAGUAUAAGAGCAAACGUGAUGUUGAGUUUAGGGUUAUUGUCGCCAAUAAAUAACCCCGCAGUACUUUGUAAACCCAA
Uranotaenia lowii is the source of this 1118-nucleotide long non-coding RNA. RefSeq lists it as uncharacterized. The record is from RefSeq and is a predicted model, not a curated record. The transcript has 3 exons. Lineage: Eukaryota; Metazoa; Arthropoda; Insecta; Diptera; Culicidae.